GAGGUUGUGGCUCAGUGGUAGAGCGCUAACCUAGCACGUUCAAGGCCCUGGGUUCAAUCCUCAGCACCACA
RNAcentral lists this transfer RNA (71 nucleotides) under Marmota monax (woodchuck). RNAcentral describes it as "tRNA.Ala". It matches the Rfam family "tRNA". Rfam says of the family: Transfer RNA (tRNA) molecules are approximately 80 nucleotides in length. Their secondary structure includes four short double-helical elements and three loops (D, anti-codon, and T loops). Further hydrogen bonds mediate the characteristic L-shaped molecular structure. tRNAs have two regions of fundamental functional importance: the anti-codon, which is responsible for specific mRNA codon recognition, and the 3' end, to which the tRNAs corresponding amino acid is attached (by aminoacyl-tRNA synthetases). tRNAs cope with the degeneracy of the genetic code in two manners: having more than one tRNA (with a specific anti-codon) for a particular amino acid; and 'wobble' base-pairing, i.e. permitting non-standard base-pairing at the 3rd anti-codon position. The record is from RNAcentral. Lineage: Eukaryota; Metazoa; Chordata; Mammalia; Rodentia; Sciuridae.